GACGAACGCUGGCGGCGUGCUUAACACAUGCAAGUCGAACGGAAAGGCCCUGCUUUUGUGGGGUGCUCGAGUGGCGAACGGGUGAGUAACACGUGAGUAACCUGCCCUUGACUUUGGGAUAACUUCAGGAAACUGGGGCUAAUACCGGAUAGGAGAUCCUGCUGCAUGGUGGGGGUUGGAAAGUUUCGGCGGUUGGGGAUGGAAUGGCGGCUUAUCAGCUUGUUGGUGGGGUAGUGGCUUACCAAGGCUUUGACGGGUAGCCGGCCUGAGAGGGUGACCGGCCACAAUGGGCCUGCGGUAGGGCGCAGACGGGUACGGGAGGCAGCAGUGGGGAAUAUGGCACAAUGGGCGGAAGCCUGAUGCAGCAACGCCGCGUGCGGGAUGACGGCCUUCGGGUUGUAAACCGCUUUCGCCUGUGACGAAGCGUGAGUGACGGUAAUGGGUAAAGAAGCACCGGCUAACUACGUG
RNAcentral lists this ribosomal RNA (468 nucleotides) under uncultured bacterium. Its description in RNAcentral is "partial 16S ribosomal RNA". It matches the Rfam family "Bacterial small subunit ribosomal RNA", at positions 28 to 507 of the family's 1533-position model. The record is from RNAcentral.